This 253-nucleotide ribosomal RNA is filed under the name uncultured bacterium. Its description in RNAcentral is "partial 16S ribosomal RNA". It matches the Rfam family "Bacterial small subunit ribosomal RNA", at positions 524 to 776 of the family's 1533-position model. The record is from RNAcentral.
UACAGAGGUCUCAAGCGUUGUUCGGAUUCAUUGGGCGUAAAGGGUGUGUAGGUGGCGCGCUAAGUCGGGUGUGAAAUUUCGGAGCUUAACUCCGAAACUGCAUUCGAUACUGGCGUGCUUGAGGACUGGAGAGGAGACUGGAAUUCAUGGUGUAGCAGUGAAAUGCGUAGAGAUCAUGAGGAAGACCAGUGGCGAAGGCGGGUCUCUGGACAGUUCCUGACGCUGAGACACGAAAGCGUGGGUAGCAAACAGG